Epinephelus fuscoguttatus (brown-marbled grouper) is the source of this 1574-nucleotide long non-coding RNA. RefSeq lists it as uncharacterized. The record is from RefSeq and is a predicted model, not a curated record. The transcript has 2 exons. NCBI's taxonomy places the organism in Eukaryota, Metazoa, Chordata, Actinopteri, Perciformes, Serranidae.
UUAUCAAUACAUCAUCAAUACAUUAUCAGUAACUGUCAUCAGAGAGAUCGUUACCACCAUCCCAACUAUUUAUCAAUCUAUUAAUCAAUCAAUUCAAUCAAUCAGUUGUAUUUAUAAAGCCCAAUAUCACAAAUCACACUUUGCCUCACAGGGCUUUACAGCAUACGACAUCCCUCUGUCCUUAUGACCCUCACAGCUGAUCAGGAAAAACUCCCCAAAAAACCCUUUAACGGGGAAAAAACGGUAGAAACCUCAGGAAGAGCAACUGAGGAGGGAUCCCUCUUCCAGGACGGACAGACGUGCAAUAGAUGUCGUACAGAACAGAUCAGCAUGAUAAAUUAACAGUAAUCCACAUGACACAAUGAGACAGAGAGAGAGAGAGAGAGAGAGAGAGAGAUGCAGGUAAUGACAGUAGCUUACAACAACAUUAUUGAAAGUAAUAAUAUUAUAGUUAUAGUUCUGGCUACUGCGGUACAAUAUGUUGAAAGUAUGGCAGUAUACAGUAUAAAGAAGAGGAACAACAGCUGUUAGCAGUUAGCAGCUAACUCACAGAGGAAGAAGAACAAUAGCUGUUAGCAGUUAGCAGCUAAGUCAAAGAGGAAGAAGAACAACAGCUGUUAGCAGUUAGCUAACUCAGAGAAAGAAGAACAAUAGCUGUUAGCAGCUAAGUCAAAGAAGAGGAACAACAGCUGUUAGCAGUUAGCAGCUAACUUGAAGAACAGCAGUUGUUAGCAGUUGACAGCUAAGUCAAAGAAGAAGAACGGCAGCUGUCAGCAGUUAGCAGCUAACUCAAAGAAGAGGAAGAAGAACAGCAGCUGUUGGCAGUUAGCACCUAACUUUAGAAGAACAGCAGCUGUUAGCAGUUAGCAGCUAACUUAAAGAGAAGAACAGCAGCAGUUAGCGACUAACUCAAAGAAGAACUCGUAGAAAAGACAGCUGCAGACCCAGGGUUCAGCUCACAGUAACUUCAUACAACAGUCUUUUUGAUAUCUAAAAUUGGCAAAAAAUGUUGUCACACAUUUCCGAUGCAUUGUUGGAGUUAUGAGCAAACCUUAGCUCGGAGAGCUAACAGGGCGUCUUCACUGUGUUAUGUGAAUGCCGAUGUCACUGAACGUGUUGUGGUGAGGUGAGGGUAGUAAAAAGUACGCUUGCAACGAUUAGUCGACUAAUCGAUGACUAAUCGACUAAAAAUAAUCUGACUAUUAUAGUAGUCGACUAAUUGAUUUGAUUCUUUUUUUUUUUUUUUUACAGAAAAGUACUAUAAAAGUACCCAAAAUACUCUUAUUGCAGCUUCUUAUGUUCAAAUAUCGGCAGCUUUACACACUCUCCAAUGACGGUGAACUUAAGUACGAAACAAAACAUUAGAUGACAUCAUUUUGGGGUUUGGGAGAGACAGAUCAACAUUUUUCAACAUUUUAACAUAUGUUUCGUUAGUUGCAGCCCUAGUAUCAAGGUGCUGAGGUAUAACCACAUGUGUGAUAUUUAAUACUGUCAACAAUGUUCCUCUGUCUGUUAAACUGACACAGAGGGGUGUGUGUGUGUGUGUGUGUGUGUGUGUGUGUGUGUGUGAGUGA